AUCCCAUGGUGUGAACAUUGAUAUAAAAGAUUUAAGAAUCUAUCCCAUGCUUGGCAUAACGUUUCCGCUUCCUUCUGUUCGAAAUGCAAGAUUUGAUUCCUAAGUAG
Molecule: small nucleolar RNA, 107 nt
Organism: Zingiber officinale
Lineage: Eukaryota; Viridiplantae; Streptophyta; Magnoliopsida; Zingiberales; Zingiberaceae
Source: RefSeq, a predicted model, not a curated record